Onychostruthus taczanowskii (white-rumped snowfinch) is the source of this 458-nucleotide non-coding RNA. The record is from the annotation of a RefSeq genome assembly. NCBI's taxonomy places the organism in Eukaryota, Metazoa, Chordata, Aves, Passeriformes, Passeridae.
GGCUCCGGGUGGCCGUGACCCUGCUGGAGUCCGGGGGGGACCUCCAGCCCCCCGGGGGGUCCCUGCGCCUCCUGUGCCGAGGGUCCGGCGUCAAUUUCGGCAGUUUUGGAAUGUUGAUCCGUCAGAGCCCCGGGCAGGGGCUGGAAUACAUCGCGAGUAUCAGCUACAAUGGUGGCAGCACCUACUACGCGCCGUCAUUCAAGGGCCGGGUGACGAUCUCCAGGGACAACGGGCAGAGCUUGGUGACGCUGACCAUGAACAGCCUCACGGACGAGGAUUCCGGAUCCUAUUUCUGCGCCAGGCGUUUCACCAGCGGCUGGUACAUUAACACUGCUCCUGGCGGCGCCGGUUCCGGUGGCGAUGCCGUGCCCCAAAGCCCAAACGCUGCGUCCCCAGCAGGGGCAGGAGGGGGAUGGGGAGACCCCCGGGGGUCCCUGCAGCUCCGCGUGGGAUUUUAG